ACAAUUGGAUGGAGCCACAAUGUUCUUCUUCAGAGUCUGUUGGUGAAAAAGCAGAGAUCAUGGAAGCUUCGGUUCGCAAUCGAGAUAGGUUGGAAUCGUCAAUAGGAAGUAAGUUCUUAUGGAGAAACUAGUGGUGGAGACAAAUCCAAAACUACUUAAACAAUGGUUUCCUUUAACAUUUGGCACUGGCUGACUCCAUUGUUAAGCAAAAUUUCCUGAUUCAGAACCAAAUCAUGGAAGAAACAUUGCUGCCGCAAUCGAAAUUCCAAAUGACGAACCAUCAUUCAACACUAAUCAAUUGGAUGAGUUUCAAAGCUCAUCUUCCGAGUCUGAUGAUGAGACAACAUUGAGGGAGCAAAGGUCAUGGAUGUUCGGACGUAUUUAGUCUCAAGCUUUACAAACAAGGAGAAAAAACGAUUAAAUAGAUGGGAAACGAGUGAGUUAAGCGGAAAAUAGAUCGGACGAGACAAGGAAUUUAAAUUAAUGGGCGAGAAACUAACACCUCUACUCAUGGUGCCUCAUUGUGAUAAAACACUAAUAGAGUACUAUAUCAAUGAUUCGGUCGUUAAUGUUUUUUUUAAAUUGCUUAAGAAGAGAUCCGACAAAUAUCCAAAUGUAUAAAUCAAACAUUAUUCGUUUGAUCCUCAAAUAGCUGUAAGAAUUUUUAUCUUGCCAAAAAUUAUUGGUAUUUUAAAAUAAAAUUAUUAGUAUAUUGUAUAAAAUUAUAUAAAGAGAGUAACAUUUAACCUG
Gossypium arboreum is the source of this 750-nucleotide long non-coding RNA. RefSeq lists it as uncharacterized. The transcript is spliced from 4 exons. The record is from RefSeq and is a predicted model, not a curated record. Lineage: Eukaryota; Viridiplantae; Streptophyta; Magnoliopsida; Malvales; Malvaceae.